AUGCCUUGGGCAGCACAUAUACUAAAAUUGGAACUAUAUGGAGAAGAUCAGUGUGGCCCCUACACGAGGCUGGUAUGUGAAUUCAUGAAGCGUCCCCCAUUUUC
This is a small nuclear RNA of Lutra lutra (Eurasian river otter), 104 nucleotides long. The record is from RefSeq and is a predicted model, not a curated record. NCBI's taxonomy places the organism in Eukaryota, Metazoa, Chordata, Mammalia, Carnivora, Mustelidae.